GACGAACGCUGGCGGCGUGCCUAAUACAUGCAAGUAGAACGCACAGUUUAUACCGUAGCUUGCUACACCAUAGACUGUGAGUUGCGAACGGGUGAGUGACGCGUAGGUAACCUGCCUGGUAGCGGGGGAUAACUAUUGGAAACGAUAGCUAAUACCGCAUAAUAUUGAUUAUUGCAUGAUAAUUGAUUGAAAGAUGCUAUUGCAUCACUACCAGAUGGACCUGCGUUGUAUUAGCUAGUAGGUGAGGUAACGGCUCACCUAGGCGACGAUACAUAGCCGACCUGAGAGGGUGAUCGGCCACACUGGGACUGAGACACGGCCCAGACUCCUACGGGAGGCAGCAGUAGGGAAUCUUCGGCAAUGGACGAAAGUCUGACCGAGCAACGCCGCGUGAGUGAAGAAGGUUUUCGGAUCGUAAAGCUCUGUUGUAAGAGAAGAACGGGUGUGAGAGUGGAAAGUUCACACUGUGACGGUAUCUUACCAGAAAGGGACGGCUAACUACGUG
Molecule: ribosomal RNA, 505 nt
Filed under: uncultured bacterium
Lineage: Bacteria
Description: partial 16S ribosomal RNA
Rfam family: Bacterial small subunit ribosomal RNA
Source: RNAcentral